UAAUACGAAGGUGGCAAGCGUUACUCGGAAUUACUAGGCGUAAAGGGCAGGUAGGUGGUUUGAUAAGUCUGUUGUGUAAGCUCCCGGCUUAACUGGGAGAGGUCAACAGAUACUGUCAGGCUUGAGUAUAGGAGAGGUUACUGGAAUUCCCGGUGUAGCGGUGAAAUGCGCAGAUAUCGGGAGGAACACCAAUGGCGAAAGCAGGUAACUGGACUAUUACUGACACUCAGCUGCGAAAGCUAGGGGAGCAAACAGGAUUAGAUACCCUGGUAGUCCUAGCUGUAAACGAUGCACAUUAGGCGUGAGGGGUAUCGACCCCCUUCGUGCCGACGCAAACGCAUUAAAUGUGCCGCCUGGGGAGUACGGCCGCAAGGUUG
This 377-nucleotide ribosomal RNA is filed under the name uncultured bacterium. Its description in RNAcentral is "bacterial SSU rRNA". It matches the Rfam family "Bacterial small subunit ribosomal RNA", at positions 521 to 896 of the family's 1533-position model. The record is from RNAcentral.